Molecule: ribosomal RNA, 197 nt
Filed under: uncultured bacterium
Lineage: Bacteria
Description: partial 16S ribosomal RNA
Rfam family: Bacterial small subunit ribosomal RNA
Source: RNAcentral
ACGCUCGACACCUACGGGGGCAGCAGUGGGGAAUAUUGCACAAUGGGGGAAACCCUGAUGCAGCGACGCCGCGUGGAGGAAGAAGGUCUUCGGAUUGUAAACUCCUGUUGUUGGGGAAAAAGAGGAUGGUACCCAACAAGGAAGUGACGGCUAACUACGUGCCAGCGGCCGCGGUAAUCUGAGCGGGCUGGCAAGGC